GACGAACGCUGGCGGCGUGCCUAACACAUGCAAGUCGAACGAGAAUCUUUGAACAGAUCUUUUCGGAGUGACGUUCAAAGAGGAAAGUGGCGGACGGGCGAGUAACGCGUGAGUAACCUGCCCAUAAGAGGGGGAUAAUCCAUGGAAACGUGGACUAAUACCGCAUAUUGUAAUUAAGUUGCAUGACUUGAUUAUGAAAGAUUUAUCGCUUAUGGAUGGACUCGCGUCAGAUUAGAUAGUUGGUGAGGUAACGGCUCACCAAGUCAACGAUCUGUAGCCGAACUGAGAGGUUGAUCGGCCGCAUUGGGACUGAGACACGGCCCAGACUCCUACGGGAGGCAGCAGUGGGGAAUAUUGCGCAAUGGGGGCAACCCUGACGCAGCAACGCCGCGUGCAGGAAGAAGGUCUUCGGAUUGUAAACUGUUGUCGCAAGGGAAGAAGACAGUGACGGUACCUUGUGAGAAAGUCACGGCUAACUACGUGCCAGCAGCCGCGGUAAUACGUAGGUGACAAGCGUUGUCCGGAUUUACUGGGUGUAAAGGGCGCGUAGGCGGACUGUCAAGUCAGUCGUGAAAUACCGGGGCUUAACCCCGGGGCUGCGAUUGAAACUGACAGCCUUGAGUAUCGGAGAGGAAAGCGGAAUUCCUAGUGUAGCGGU
RNAcentral lists this ribosomal RNA (658 nucleotides) under uncultured bacterium. Its description in RNAcentral is "bacterial SSU rRNA". It matches the Rfam family "Bacterial small subunit ribosomal RNA", at positions 28 to 682 of the family's 1533-position model. The record is from RNAcentral.